CAAAGAAGAGCAAAACAAAACGAACAAAACAAAGGUUGUGAAAUUAGCAUCUCCACCAGCAGCAACUCCGUACUCGCUGCAUCAAGUUUUUUUGCGAAAAUGUAUAAUUGUGCUUGCCGAAUCCGUUUGUGGCAUAUCCGCUGUGGCAAGUGUAACGGCCCCCGCGGGAGCGCGGACAUCUGAAGCACCGGUUCUCACCCAAAACGAGUUGGCCGCCUCUUCCAUUUCAACAACAUCGAAACAUCGCUAUCUAUUUUAAACCUGAUCGAACUUAGGGGGAGGCGAACACCCACCGCGGUGGCACCAUGCUGCACCUGCUGGAGGUCGAGCAGCCGGCCUCGAAUGUGCUAUGACUAGGACGAGGACGAGCAUGGACAUUGUUUGUCAUGUCGAAAGCGACCGAAGAAGAUGGGCGGACUGGAGAAGUUGGAUUGUGAUGAGAUCACAUAUUUUCGUCCCGGAAGUGGAUUCCUUCACGGAGAUGUUUAUCAAUGCUGUCCAGGCCAACAUGGAGGGCAAGAACCGCUGAAGUUGGGCACGACGAGUUGAUCUGCAUCAGGUGUGUGAUUUCUGUUGCGAAAAAAUGGAACGCUCGACGCUGGGAACUGUGCGUGGCCAAGUGAGUGUUCGAAGGCAAAAUGUGACUGGAAGGAGCAGCAUCAAGACCAUCAACUCUGCCAGAGACCCCAUCGAUCUCAUGGCAACAAUUUCAACUAAAUCAGCUGAUCUGAUCGUAACAAUCGGUCGAGAUUGAAUUCUACAGAUCCAGUUUAAGCAAAUAUGGAAGCGGCCACAAUGGUUCGAAGAAGGAGGCACCAGUCUUUGGCAAGAAUCUGUGCGGCGCGAGGUCACGCGAUCACAAGCUUUGUAGGGUUGGAUUUUCAAAACGUCGGUGAGGAUCGACAGAUGCUAUCAGAUCCAGUAAACCAAGAUUUAGCCGUUUGGACACUAGUGCUCAUGCCUGCUGGUUGAUUAGAAUAAGAC
Molecule: long non-coding RNA, 984 nt
Organism: Culex pipiens pallens (northern house mosquito)
Lineage: Eukaryota; Metazoa; Arthropoda; Insecta; Diptera; Culicidae
Exons: 3
Source: RefSeq, a predicted model, not a curated record